Molecule: non-coding RNA, 86 nt
Organism: Corynascus novoguineensis
Lineage: Eukaryota; Fungi; Ascomycota; Sordariomycetes; Sordariales; Chaetomiaceae
Source: the annotation of a GenBank genome assembly
GGGCGUGUGGCUCAGUUGGUAGAGCGUUCGCUUAGCAUGGUUGUCCACCUUGCGAAAGGUCCUGGGUUCGAUUCCCAGCCCGUCCA